Molecule: long non-coding RNA, 2454 nt
Filed under: Homo sapiens (human)
Lineage: Eukaryota; Metazoa; Chordata; Mammalia; Primates; Hominidae
Description: long intergenic non-protein coding RNA 1114 (LINC01114)
Source: RNAcentral
UUACGAUGCCCCCAAAGAGCUGGCGAAGAUCUCAGGAUUGGCUUUGGAGGGUCUUGGCAGUGCUACUAUAUUCUUAUUAUGAAUAAAAAUUUUAAACCCAAGCUGAUAAACAUAUUUUUUUUCACACUGAAUUCAUCAGGAAUACAUUAACAUUUUCUAAAAGGUAAAGACAGCAAAAAUGAAAGAAUUGAAAGGAGAACAUUAGGAUGUAUUUGGCCACUAGGACUCUGUUUCCAUCAGCUCCUGCAUAUGAGCCAGAACUUCACCCCAUAUAACUAAUGCGCAGGGAAUUAGCCUAUGGAAUAAUGAUCAUUCCUGAUGAAAAGAAUAAGAUCUUGUUCCCGUGUAUGUGCAGAGCCAUUCAUCCUAAGAAAGAAAUCUGGAGUGAAAGCGCACAGCAUAUUUUGCAUAGGUUCUGUAAAAGGAUCCAGGCAAAACAGGCUUUGCAACAUUAGUUAUGAUCAUAUAUGGAAAAAGCAGUUACUUUCUGGGGUGACAUAUGGCUGAAUUGGUACAAUGCCCAGGAAUCUCAAUGUCCCCCUUAGAAGGGUGAGCCCUGGCUUCAUCCUUCACCCACAUCAUCAGUGGGACAAACUGCACAGCUCGUGGACAGAUCACCGGUAAAGAAAAUCACAUCCACCUGUGCUGAGACCAAGGCUGCUGUUGGGCUCUGGCAGUUGGCAAGCGCUAAGGUCCCCUUCUGUGAUCAUAACUUUUUCUAAAGCAGGAAAAUUAUGAAUGGAGCCCAAGCCCGUCUGCUUAAGAUUCAAGCAUGGUGACAUUCCAUAGUAAACAACAACAGCGACAAUGCUGACAAAAACAACACGUUUAUUGUGAGGGUGAUUCCACCCUUAAAUGUGGAAAAUUUAACCUUGCUCUGAUACUAUUCUGUAACCAGUAUACCUAUGUCCAACAUUCCUAACAUAGCCAAACCAAUCAAUUGAGCCUUAUUGUGGAAGAGACAGGAAAUGUGAUCACUUGAAUGUGUGAUAUUCAUUCAUCCACUCAUUCAUUUUGCUGACCAUUAAUUAAUUCAAUUAACCCUCCUGAGUACAGCUCUGUGCUAAGCAUUAGGGACUCAAGAUGAUUCUUAUCUUCAAGGCAUCCAGCCUGGGGAGAAAAACAGACGUACAACUAAGCUGCAGACGGACACAUCCUUUAGUGAUGGGGACACCUGGAAGGGAUUGAGAAACUCCUUGCAGUUGGCCUUGGGAAGCUGGGGAGGACUUGAAACUUCUAAGUGGCCCUGGGAGCAACCGGAGGUGGGGUGGGCCAGUGCCUGUAGGCCUGGGCCUGCCUGGCUGAGGAUCCCAGCUGGACUACUGCCUUGCUGUCUACAAAUGAUGGAGCCCUUCCAGUCUCAGCUUCCUCACAAGUAAAAUGCAGACGGCAAUGCCUCUUUCCAGUGACGUUGUGAGGAUUCGAUGGGAAGUUUCAUGAAAGCACUUAGCAGGGUUUUUGUUGAGUGCUCAGAAGGUGAUAGUUUGGUGUUGCUAGGGGAACAGAAGCCUGGGCUGAGAACAGGCCGUGGAGAGUCACAAAUGGUCUUCAGCCGUCGGAAGGCACUGUUAGAUUUACUCUUCACAAAGAACAUUUUGGGACAUCUUGGUGUACGGAUUAGAAGGAAGGACAGAAGCUGGCACUUUGGCAAAGGAGUGUGAGUUUUGGGGAAGCUCAAGGAAGAGGUACCAGGUAGAGAGAGGGCCAGGGCUGAGUUCACGGGCUCUUUCUAAAUGGAAAUGUCUCACAUUCAGCUGUUGUCUGCCUUUGAGUCACACAGAACCACUUGCAGGAAGAACUCUAGAGAAUUUGGGAAGAAAGGGGGAGAGGACAGACAAAAGAUGCAUUUUUCUUUCAAGAAGCAGGAAAAUGUAAGGAAAAUUGAAGGUGUUCUCAAGUGUGUCUGCUGCUGCCUGACACAGGUUAACCCCGUCGCAGGUCACUCCGCUCUGUUAAUUGCAUCCUAACCUUCCUCGGCUCUUCGGCAGCGAAAUCGCAGCAGAGGAGAUGGAGCAGCUUCGUGCGCAUUGCUCAUUUGCGCCAACGUGAAAAGAACUGCCAGGAUGCCCAGGACACCAGCUCCCUGGCUUCUGCGGUGCUUGCACAGUCCUGAAUCAGCCCGAGAGCUGUGGAUCUGCGUCCCCUGGCUGCAUAGCCGACUGCCGGCUCCAUGGAGGGGCCUGUGCCGGAGAACGCACAUGUUGACUUAUUUCUUCAGUCUAGGCCUUUCUUGGCCCCCUUGGUUAUUCAUUCUAGAUGAUACAACUCUUAUUUCAGUUCAAAUGUCUCACGGAAGAGGCAUUGAAGACAGAGUGGAUGCCCGUGUUUGUUGGCAGUAGGUAGUAUUUACCACUCCGGUUGUAGUAAAAGAACAAAAGGAGAAAUUACACCUAUUUCUCAUAUUUAAGGGAAAAGCAAUUAAAUCACCAAAGUCAGAAAAAAAAAAAAAAAAAA